UGGGGAAUUUUGGACAAUGGGCGAAAGCCUGAUCCAGCAAUGCCGCGUGUGUGAAGAAGGCCUUCGGGUUGUAAAGCACUUUUGUCCGGAAAGAAAUCCUUGGCUCUAAUACAGUCGGGGGAUGACGGUACCGGAAGAAUAAGCACCGGCUAACUACGUGCCAGCAGCCGCGGUAAUACGUAGGGUGCAAGCGUUAAUCGGAAUUACUGGGCGUAAAGCGUGCGCAGGCGGUUUGCUAAGACCGAUGUGAAAUCCCCGGGCUCAACCUGGGAACUCAUUGGGUGACUGGCAGGCUAGAGUAUGGCAGAGGGGGGUAGAAUUCCACGUGUAGCAGUGAAAUGCGUAGAGAUGUGGAGGAAUACCGAUGGCGAAGGCAGCCCCCUGGGCCAAUACUGACGCUCAUGCACGAAAGCGUGGGGAGCAAACAGGAUUAGAUACCCUGGUAGUCCACGCCCUAAACGAUGUCAACUAGUUNUUGGGGAUUCAUUUCCUUAGUAACGUAGCUAACGCGUGAAGUUGACCGCCUGGGGAGUACGGUCGCAAGAUUAAAACUCAAAUGAAUUGACGGGGUCAUAGCU
This 578-nucleotide ribosomal RNA is filed under the name uncultured bacterium. RNAcentral's name for it is "partial 16S ribosomal RNA". It matches the Rfam family "Bacterial small subunit ribosomal RNA", at positions 355 to 926 of the family's 1533-position model. The record is from RNAcentral.